AUGCCGUCGGUGGAAAUUAUCGACUCGACCUAUGUCAGUGUGCCGGAGACCGCCAGGCCACCGCCGGAGCCGAUCAAGCUCACCGCAUUGGAGGUGCGGUGGGUCGCCUUCCCGGUGCUGCAGAACGUCCUGCUCUACGAGGGCCCGGACAUGCCACCCUUUGACGCCAUUCUCCAGUCCCUCCGGUCCUCCCUCGUCGUGACUCUAGUCAGCUUUGCGCCGCUCGCCGGGAAGCUGGUCUACCUGGAGGAAGCGGGGGACGUCGCCAUCAGCUGCUCCGCCACCGACGUCGUCAAGUUCGUCGUCGCGGAGUCCGACGCCAAUAUCGGCCGGCUCGCCGGUGACGAGGAGCACGACCUGCGCGUGCUCGAGCGGCUCGUGCCGGACGUGGACAUGGGCGAGCUGCCGGCCCCCGUUUUGGCCGUGCAGGCCACGCGCUUCGAGGGCGGCGUGGCAGUCGGGGUUAUGGUGCACCAUGCCGUCGCAGAUGGGCGGUCGCUGUGGACGUUGUGGAGGCUUGGGCGGCAACGUGCCGGGGCGAGACGCCGGCCACGGCACCGUGCUUUGACCGCUCGCUUGUGA
RNAcentral lists this ribosomal RNA (582 nucleotides) under Triticum aestivum (bread wheat). RNAcentral's name for it is "partial small subunit ribosomal RNA". Lineage: Eukaryota; Viridiplantae; Streptophyta; Magnoliopsida; Poales; Poaceae. The record is from RNAcentral.